GAUGAAGAACGCAGCGAAAUGCGAUAAGUAAUGUGAAUUGCAGAAUUCAGUGAAUCAUCGAAUCUUUGAACGCACCUUGCGCUCCUUGGUAUUCCGAGGAGCAUGCCUGUUUGAGUGUCAUUAAUAUAUCAACCUUCUCUUUUUUGAGUUGUUUGGAUGUGGGGGUUUGCUGGCCUCUUAAAUGAUUCAGCUCCCCUGAAAUGCAUUAGCAGAACAACCUGUACAUUAGCGUGAUAAUUAUCUAUGCUAUUGAAUGUGAGGGCAGUUCAGCUUUCUAACCGUCCUUGGACAAUUCAUCAUUAAUGUGACCUCAAAUCAGGUAGGACUACCCGCUGAACUUAAGCAUAUCAAUAAGCGGAGGA
RNAcentral lists this unclassified non-coding RNA (362 nucleotides) under soil metagenome. RNAcentral describes it as "partial contains 5.8S ribosomal RNA, internal transcribed spacer 2, and large subunit ribosomal RNA". The stretch from base 1 to 120 matches the Rfam family "5.8S ribosomal RNA", at positions 35 to 154 of the family's 154-position model. The record is from RNAcentral.